CGGAGUGUGGCGCAGCCUGGUAGCGCACCUGCUUCGGGAGCAGGGGGCCGGAGGUUCGAAUCCUCUCACUCCGACCA
RNAcentral lists this transfer RNA (77 nucleotides) under Mesorhizobium amorphae. Its description in RNAcentral is "tRNA-Pro". It matches the Rfam family "tRNA". From Rfam's summary of the family: Transfer RNA (tRNA) molecules are approximately 80 nucleotides in length. Their secondary structure includes four short double-helical elements and three loops (D, anti-codon, and T loops). Further hydrogen bonds mediate the characteristic L-shaped molecular structure. tRNAs have two regions of fundamental functional importance: the anti-codon, which is responsible for specific mRNA codon recognition, and the 3' end, to which the tRNAs corresponding amino acid is attached (by aminoacyl-tRNA synthetases). tRNAs cope with the degeneracy of the genetic code in two manners: having more than one tRNA (with a specific anti-codon) for a particular amino acid; and 'wobble' base-pairing, i.e. permitting non-standard base-pairing at the 3rd anti-codon position. Lineage: Bacteria; Pseudomonadati; Pseudomonadota; Alphaproteobacteria; Hyphomicrobiales; Phyllobacteriaceae. RNAcentral also lists the same sequence under 3 other names. The record is from RNAcentral.